UCUGGAACCGACUCCAGCCCCAUCGCUUACUCUUCUCUUGCUGAAUUUGGCUAGAAAAUCCAGCAGCAAGAUUACGAACAUCUAGGAAGAAAAGAAUAAAGAAGUUGAUUUCUGUAUUUUUAGGCUAAUUAUUGCUGAGAUUUUUCCUGGGGAAGGAAGUGAAUUAUGGGCCCGAAAGAUUUGAGGCCCAAAGAUACAAUUCUUUACUUAGCCUCUCAACUAAUGAUGUGGGCCUCCAAACAAGCCCCUCGAGCCCAUUCUCCUUUCUCUUUAGAUUUUCUCUUCUACAGCGGGUUGAAUUGAGUAGUGAGUUACAUUGAUCUUCAUUUUGAUUUCAUUAUUUUGAUCAUAAAAUCUAUAAAUCUAUUGAUCCUGUCCGGAAUUUGAGUCAGAUGAAAACCGGAUGAGUUGUUGUUGGCUUUGACGGAGGGGCGACUAAGACAUCUUUCUCGUAUGCGCUUCCAAAAAUGGACUCCCACGUGGUGCUGAUAGACGACGAUUACUGAGCCGGUGGUACCUAAACUCUGCGCACACUCAGACAAGCACACGGGCGUUAGAGGCCAGAAACCAAGGAAAAAAAUUCCCGUAGCAAGUCCUUCGAUGCUCAAGUCAGGUACUUUUUCCCCAGAAGAAUAAUGUACGAAGGAGAAAGAAAGUAGAAGACAGGUGCGAAUGUGCGAGAGAACGUACCUGCGUAAGGGAGAUGACCUCCCUUUUUAUAUGACAGUGCGUACCUUCUGGAGUAUGACUGAUGUCAGAAAAUAACGAGUGUCAGGACUUGUCGAGUGAUGGAGGACACGUGGCAUCCUCCGGUAGGCUGAAGGAAACUUCCAUUCACAUAUGACCGCAAACCGUUGGCAUAUUAUUUGACACGUCACAGUUAUUCUCUAACAGUCAAUUAUGAUUCCCUAACCCUGUUUGUCAUGUAGUACCUUUUAUCCCGACCGAGUAUGAAUAAGGUCGCUCGAGAUGAUCAAUCGGGUAUAACACCUGACCUAGACCUAGGGGGGACGUGAGUUGGGGAGAGAUUGUCAAAGAGCCGACCGGAAGUUGACUGACAGAGAGUUGGCUUACUAAGAGAACUAGGCCCAGAUACAACCAAGUUAUGAGACUCGACCAGUCAGAUCCAGGUCAAGUGUUAUACCGACUGUCCACCGGGUGGCUAAGGUAUCUCAGAUCGAGAGUCCUGGCUUGCGAGAAUCCGAUCGGAAAUCAUGUUGCUGCCGUCGUCACACAAUCCUACUUCCUCUUUCCAUAUCUGUUGAUUACCCUGUCCCUUUAACUUCUGACUGUCACGUCUCAUUAAUUUUUGACUGUCACACCUCUUUAAUUUUUGAUUACUCAAUCUUAUCGGAUCCCACUGUUAUACAUCGUAUCACCUAUAUUUGAUUAGAUUUAAGCUGCAACCACGGCUGGAUGCUAGAAAUUUGAAGGGUAAGGGUGAAUUUGAUCUCAACCUAAGUGCCUUUCACCGUCUACAGAUGGCGACGACGUGAACAAAAGAACCACGUGAACUGGUAUGCAAUUCAUGCUUAUCCACAGCGAGAAUACGACAAGGCUCAACACAUCAACUGUGGAAUGAGGUUGUUUGAUCAACAGCUGGAGAUGCAUUCAACAAAGCAUAGUUGAAGACCAGACCAUCAGGUACACGCUAAAUCCAUGAACUGGCUCACAACAGCAGGAUCAAAUAAAUCUGCAUUUCAAACAAAAGAAUACCAAAAAGAAGCAAAAAAGAAGGGAUAGCCCACUAGGCCAAGCUUCAGCAGAAUUAAGGCUAAUCAUAUCCAACACCAGUAGAACUACUCUUAUGAGAUGUUGAACAUUUUCUUAGUUCACCUCAAUUGAUCCUACAAUAAAAAUAAAAUGAAAGAAAAAAUUGGUUGGAGAAAUCUGCUCGCUCUCCAAGAUCUCAUCUGAGGAGCUCAAAGACUCCCCUACUCUGGGCAUAAACUAUUCCUUUGAAUAUGAUCAUACAACAACUCACAAAACAUCUGAUAUCCUUGCAUAUAUUCGAAGUUAAAAAUAUGCCGGUCUCUUCUCAUGAACCUACAAAAUUAUAAAUUUUCUUAACUUCUCAUCUCCAGGUAUAACUAUCUGACUUCUCAUCUUCUUCCCCGCAACUUUCUCCAGCAAAAGAGUGUGCUCUAUUCGAAACGGCUAGCUGGAGGGGGCCUUGAGGAGAGCCAGAUUGUGAGACACUUUGUUGAGGUGAAGAGGUGCAGUCCUCUUGGGGAACCCACAUACCUCCCCCUAAAACAGCAACCGGUCGGCCACCGAUAGAAGAAACUUUAGGCGCCUUUCGCGUGUGCAAUCGGUACUUCUGAAAUCAAAGAUAGGAAGAUCGUGUUAAUGCUAUACCACAAUCAUGAACCAACAAAAGAUUAGUGAUCAGGAAUGCACAAGGCAGCAGAUGUAGAAUUUAGUGGGUACCUGCAGAUGGCUUUUCACUUCAUCGUUGGUGAGGCCAUCCACCUUCAUUAAGUCUCUUAUCUGCUUCGGAGUCGCCACUGCAUCGGAACCAAUUGGAGAUGAAUCAGUGUGUAUUGCUUCAAACCACCAUUUACAGAUAUGAAAAACUACAAAGGUCAGAAUUUGAUCUCACCUUGAGCUCCACCAAGCUGUUGGAGAGCAUUGACAAACCGGCUAUGCAGCUCCUGUGGCCAACAUCGCCGGACUUUCCUUGGCGGCGGCUGAAGCUGUAAGCUUAGGUGCGCGCCCACAGAAGCAGGGACCGACAUCGGAGAUCCAGCCACUCCCUCACAUCCCGACCCACCGCUAGAAUGCUCCUCGGCGGCAGAUGAAAGCGAACAAGGUGAGUUCUUUGACGCAGUCGGCACAAGGGAGAGAUCAGGAGACACCAACACCUGCUUCAGCUCCCCUUUGGAUUUCAUUGUAGGAGCUGAUGUGC
This is a long non-coding RNA of Zingiber officinale, 2908 nucleotides long. RefSeq lists it as uncharacterized. The record is from RefSeq and is a predicted model, not a curated record. The transcript is spliced from 2 exons. Lineage: Eukaryota; Viridiplantae; Streptophyta; Magnoliopsida; Zingiberales; Zingiberaceae.